AUGGUUUUUUCUCCUUUGUUCUUUCUCUGUGCUUUUCCUUUGUCUUUUUGAUCUCCUUUGUGCAGCUUUCCCAAUCAGCAGUAACAGGUACCAGGCUGCAUGGCUGUUACUUUGAUGAAAUCAAUGCCAUCAUCUGACACCAAUCAGCUACAUCGAUGAUAAAGGUAUCUUUCCAGGAGCAACUUCAUUAUCUGUGCAUGGGUAUGUACAGCUUGUGGGACCAUAAAAAAACCUCUCAGUGUAAAGGCAAAGAGCUUUCUCCUUCUGGGCAUAGAUGGAGUCAAGAGACUGAAUGAACCAUCCACAUCUUGCUGCAUUGUCUUCCAUUAUCUCUCAGCCUUUACAUCAGAAACACCAGAAGAAAACAUGGUGAAAUGCAGACCCUCCAUGUGCCACAGGCUGCUGGGAAUGACAGGACACAUUCUUCCAGGGCUGCCUGAUGACUGCUCCAGAAGGUACACUACAGGAGUGGAUAAGGACCCACUAGAAGCCAGGAAGUCUCUAAUGUAUUGUCCUUUCAAGCAAACAGCUUUAGCUUUUUAAUUCUCCACUUACAUUAAUCAUGCCUGUCAUGAGCCACUUGGAGAGCUGCAGCCACCUCAGUGUGGCCUGCAAAGCUUCCUGCUUCACUCAGAGCUCUGCUUCUUCAAGUUUCCCUUCCCAAUGUUUGUAUGAAGCCUACAGGAG
Molecule: long non-coding RNA, 687 nt
Filed under: Zonotrichia albicollis (white-throated sparrow)
Lineage: Eukaryota; Metazoa; Chordata; Aves; Passeriformes; Passerellidae
Description: lncRNA (ENSZALG00000017162.1)
Source: RNAcentral